Molecule: long non-coding RNA, 423 nt
Organism: Vicia villosa (hairy vetch)
Lineage: Eukaryota; Viridiplantae; Streptophyta; Magnoliopsida; Fabales; Fabaceae
Exons: 2
Source: RefSeq, a predicted model, not a curated record
AGCAGCCAAUUAGCGUGAUGGUUUAUUCUUACACAGAAGACUUUCAACAUUACACCAAUGAAAUAUAUAAUGGUCCCAAUUGUCCGAAGGAUUCAAAAGAUGCGGACCACUUCAUGUUGAUAGUGGGUUACGAUUCAGUAGACAGUGAAGAUUAUUGGAUCGUGAAGAAUACAUGGGGCACAAGUUGGGGAAGAAAUGGUUAUAUGUUUGUAAAAAGGAACACUGGUAAAAAGUAUGGAGUGUGUGGAAUCAACCAAUGGGCUUUUUACCCAAACAAAAAAAAGUGAUGAAGAAUAAAAUUCGAAAUAAGAGUCCGAAUAUGUUUCAUUACAUGGAUAAUGAAUAAAAAUAUAUGUUGUUAUUAACAUGUUAGUUCCUCUGAAUUUUGAAGUUGUUGAGAAUAAAUAAAUCAAUCAAUAGAAA